Molecule: ribosomal RNA, 442 nt
Filed under: uncultured bacterium
Lineage: Bacteria
Description: partial 16S ribosomal RNA
Rfam family: Bacterial small subunit ribosomal RNA
Source: RNAcentral
CCUACGGGUGGCAGCAGUGGGGAAUAUUGGGCAAUGGGCGCAAGCCUGACCCAGCAAUGCCGCGUGAAGGAAGAAGGCUUUCGGGUUGUAAACUUCUUUGACAGGGGAAGAGCAGAAGACGGUACCCUGAAAACAAGCCAGGGCUAACUACGUGCCAGCAGCCGGGGUAAUACGUAGGUGGCAAGCGUUGUACGGAUUUAUUGGGUGUAAAGGGCGUGUAGCCGGGAAGGCAAGUCAGAUGUGAAAUCUGGAGGCUCAACCUCCAAAUUGCAUUUGAAACUGUUUUUCUUGAGUACUGGAGAGGCAGACGGAAUUCCUUGUGUAGCGGUGAAAUGCGUAGAUAUAAGGAGGAACACCAGUGGCGAAGGCGGUCUGCUGGACAGCAACUGACGGUGAGGCGCGAAAGCGUGGGGAGCAAACAGGAUUAGAUACCCCAGUAGUC